GGCAGUUCUCAGGUGACACACCCCAGAAUCAGGCUCCCUCCUCUCUGGUUCAGGGUGUGUCACCAAAGAACUGCC
This is a non-coding RNA of Myotis lucifugus (little brown bat), 75 nucleotides long. The record is from Rfam. NCBI's taxonomy places the organism in Eukaryota, Metazoa, Chordata, Mammalia, Chiroptera, Vespertilionidae.